This 106-nucleotide transfer RNA is filed under the name Actinomadura alba. Its description in RNAcentral is "tRNA-OTHER". Lineage: Bacteria; Bacillati; Actinomycetota; Actinomycetes; Streptosporangiales; Thermomonosporaceae. The record is from RNAcentral.
GGAGGCACAGGUCACGGACCGGUGCACACGCCGCCGAACAGGUGAGCGAAGACUUGGAAAGCGUGUUGGUGGCAACGCCUCAGGAGUUCGAAUCUCCUACCCUCCG